GGUGUUGUGGCUCAAUGGUAGAGUGCUUGCCUAGCAUGCAGGAGGCACUGAGUUCGAGCCUCAGCAUCACAU
Molecule: transfer RNA, 72 nt
Filed under: Marmota marmota marmota (Alpine marmot)
Lineage: Eukaryota; Metazoa; Chordata; Mammalia; Rodentia; Sciuridae
Also listed under: 1 other name
Rfam family: tRNA
About the family: Transfer RNA (tRNA) molecules are approximately 80 nucleotides in length. Their secondary structure includes four short double-helical elements and three loops (D, anti-codon, and T loops).
Source: Rfam by way of RNAcentral